GAUGAACGCUGGCGAUAGGCUUAACACAUGCCAGUCGAGGGGCAGCAUGGUCUUAGCUUGCUAAGGCUGAUGGCGACCGGCGCACGGGUGCGUAACGCGUAUGCAACUUGCCUCACAGAGGGGGAUAACCCGUCGAAAGACGGACUAAUACCGCGUACACUCUAUGUUGGGCAUCCAAUGUAGAGGAAAUGAAAUUCGCUGUGAGAUAGGCAUGCGUCCCAUUAGCUAGUUGGUGAGGUAACGGCUCACCAAGGCGACGAUGGGUAGGGGAACUGAGAGGUUGAACCCCCACACUGGUACUGAGACACGGACCAGACUCCUACGGGAGGCAGCAGUGAGGAAUAUUGGUCAAUGGGCGAGAGCCUGAACCAGCCAAGUCGCGUGAAGGAUGACUGUCUUAUGGAUUGUAAACUUCUUUUAUACGGGAAUAACAAGAGUCACGUGUGGCUCCCUGCAUGUACCGUAUGAAUAAGCAUCGGCUAACUCCGUG
RNAcentral lists this ribosomal RNA (490 nucleotides) under uncultured bacterium. Its description in RNAcentral is "partial 16S ribosomal RNA". It matches the Rfam family "Bacterial small subunit ribosomal RNA", at positions 28 to 507 of the family's 1533-position model. The record is from RNAcentral.